Molecule: long non-coding RNA, 331 nt
Organism: Arabidopsis thaliana (thale cress)
Lineage: Eukaryota; Viridiplantae; Streptophyta; Magnoliopsida; Brassicales; Brassicaceae
Product: other RNA
Exons: 1
Source: RefSeq
UCCCUACUUACCAACGGCUAAUUCACCCAACGGCUCCUUUGGACUCUCCGCUGCUUUAGGACCCUCCACGGUCACGCCUUCAUCUUCAUUAAUUAUUAAUCGUAUAAUUAGGAGCUAUAACUACUAACCAAUAAAGUUAAAUGAUCUUUAUUUGAGCCGUUAAUAAAUUCCAUCAAUAAAAUCUUUCAAAAAGUUAUUUUUAAUUGUCUUAAACGAACAAUUUCUGCAUUUCCCAUAUAUAUAAAAAAGGAAAACGUUAUAGAGAAGCUUCCUUGAGACCCUCAACAUACUUUGUCCUCGUCCGAAUAUGUCUUCCUCUGUUUUUUAUUCU